UAGGCCCUUGGGGAGUUGUUUGGAUGCAUGGAAUUGGAGUCCAUGGAAAGAAAGCAUAUCUUGAAAAGACAGGAUUGAAAGAAUUUCUCUUCAUCCUGUUCGGGUGAUAAUUUUGGAUUUGCAUGGAAAGAUGAGUUCAUAUUUGGGUAUAGAACUCUUCCAAGGAAAGAUUGAAGAGAAGAAUGCAGCAUCCAUGCCAACGUGGCACAUGUGCAGGAUCCGAGACAUUCAUCGGGUUGGCCUUUGUGAUAAAGGAAUGAAUGCAAGGAGAGAGUGCAUGUUGGAGUGAAUUGUGACAGUAGAAGGUGUUUAUAAGAGCCAAAGUAUAGCUGUUGCAAAGGAUUCUUUUUCCCUGAAUGCACAUUUCGGUUUUUAGCUAGAAAUGGAAACUAGGCUGAAGAGAUAAAACACGAAGAAACCAUUUUUGCAUUCUUGACAGUGCCAUGC
This is a long non-coding RNA of Magnolia sinica, 447 nucleotides long. RefSeq lists it as uncharacterized. The transcript is spliced from 2 exons. The record is from RefSeq and is a predicted model, not a curated record. NCBI's taxonomy places the organism in Eukaryota, Viridiplantae, Streptophyta, Magnoliopsida, Magnoliales, Magnoliaceae.